UUUCGAUCUUAAAUUUAAAUUUAAAGUUUAAUAAUUUUAAAAAUAGAAUCUCAAAUUUAAAUUAUAACCCUCAAACAUUAAAUCUUAAAUCUAUACCCUAAAUAUAAUACCCUAAACCCCAAACUUAAAUCUUACAUACAAAGUCAUAAAUCUAUUUUUUAAUUUAUAAUAUAAAUUUUAAACUUAGACUCCAAAUAUAUUCUAAAACUCAAACCAUAUACUUAAUUAUAAAUCUUAACCCUAAACCCUAAACCACAUACUUCAUAUUAACCUACAUCAUAAAUCCUAAUUUACAAAUUUCAAAAAUUUAAAUAUAGGUUUUGGAAUUUAGACUUUGAGUAUAUAUUCCAAACCAUAUACAAUAACUCUAAAUCUUAUACACCAAAUCAUAAAAUCCAAACAUCAAAUUUAACCUUUUCAAAUUUAAACACCAAAACCUAAACAUAGAUACUAAUAAAAAAAAUUCAAAUUGUAUUCUCAAAUUUUACUCUAAACCCCAAACCUAAGACUCCAAAUAAACUUUAAUCAUGAACAUUAACCUUAUAUUUAAAACUUUUAAAUUAGACUAAACUUUUAACUUUAAUCAUAGUCAUUAAUCAAAUCCUAUAUUAUAAAUCUAUUAUUUAAAUUUAAAUUCAUUUGUUUAAACCCCAUAUAAACCCAUUCAUAUUUAAGUGAAUUAGAAGCUUAUUUGAUGACCAAAGAAAAAGAAUUAACAGCUUAUUUCUGAUUAGACCAAAAAGUGAGGCGUGGAUCACCAUUUUUCGAAUCUCUGCCGUUGGUAAUAUUAAUCUUACGGCUCAGAUUAAUUCACUAUUAAUAUUUUAUGUUUGUUUUAUCUCUUUCUUCCUUUCUUCUUCCACACGAUUCUAUACUUCUUAUUUUCUUCUUCUGUACCUCUUCGAUCUCCUCAUCUAAUCUCAUCUCUCUUAUCCUCUUCCCAUCUCUCUUUCUCCUCUGCUCAUCUUUCAUUUACUUUUCUUCUUUCAAGCAAAUGGAUCUGAACGAAGAGGAUUACCACCGUCAUGCUUCUCACCACCAUGCUCCUUUCUAUUCGGUUUCGCCCUUCACCACCACCACCACCGCACGCUCGUCAACACCACCACCAGUCACGAAAGUGGAGGAGGCACAGGAUUGAUGAAUGAGGCACAGGAGAUUGAUGGAGGAGGUAGCAGUGGUGGGUCAUGAGCAGAGCCGGCUUGAAUGUUGAAGACGAAGAAGCUCGGUGAGGAGGCGGCAGGCGGCGGAGAAUAUACAUUAGGUUUAGAUUAGGGUUAGGUAUA
Molecule: long non-coding RNA, 1283 nt
Organism: Brassica napus (rape)
Lineage: Eukaryota; Viridiplantae; Streptophyta; Magnoliopsida; Brassicales; Brassicaceae
Exons: 2
Source: RefSeq, a predicted model, not a curated record